RNAcentral lists this small nucleolar RNA (98 nucleotides) under Caenorhabditis japonica. Its description in RNAcentral is "sRNA CJA48549". It matches the Rfam family "Small nucleolar RNA sn2991". Lineage: Eukaryota; Metazoa; Nematoda; Chromadorea; Rhabditida; Rhabditidae. The record is from Rfam by way of RNAcentral.
AUUUCUAGAAGAUGGAAGAGCAGUAAAGGAUCUUUGAAGAGCAGAAUGCUCCGACUCGACAGAGACCAAAGCUGCGUCAGUGUCUCCAGAUGAAAAGU